RNAcentral lists this ribosomal RNA (400 nucleotides) under phytoplankton environmental sample. RNAcentral's name for it is "partial small subunit ribosomal RNA". It matches the Rfam family "Eukaryotic small subunit ribosomal RNA", at positions 587 to 994 of the family's 1831-position model. The record is from RNAcentral.
AGCUCCAAUAGCGUAUAUUAAAGUUGUUGCAGUUAAAAAGCUCGUAGUUGGAUUUGUGGCUUAUGCGUGCGGCCCGCAUUCGUGCGGUGUUUGCUAGCGUGGCCAUCCUUGGGUGGAACCUGUGUGGCAUUAGGUUGUCGUGCAGGGGAUGCCCAUCGUUUACUGUGAAAAAAUUAGAGUGUUCAAAGCAGGCUUACGCCGUUGAAUAUAUUAGCAUGGAAUAAUAAGAUAGGACCUUGGUACUAUUUUGUUGGUUUGCGCACCAAGGUAAUGAUUAAUAGGGACAGUUGGGGGUAUUCGUAUUCCAUUGUCAGAGGUGAAAUUCUUGGAUUUUUGGAAGACGAACUACUGCGAAAGCAUUUACCAAGGAUGUUUUCAUUAAUCAAGAACGAAAGUACGC